RNAcentral lists this ribosomal RNA (1300 nucleotides) under Cylindrospermopsis raciborskii. RNAcentral's name for it is "bacterial SSU rRNA". It matches the Rfam family "Bacterial small subunit ribosomal RNA", at positions 61 to 1405 of the family's 1533-position model. The record is from RNAcentral. Lineage: Bacteria; Bacillati; Cyanobacteriota; Cyanophyceae; Nostocales; Aphanizomenonaceae.
GUCGAACGGGAUGCUUAGGCAUCUAGUGGCGGACGGGUGAGUAACGCGUGAGAAUCUGGCUCCAGGUCGGGGAUAACAGUUGGAAACGACUGCUAAUACCGGAUGUGCCGAGAGGUGAAAGAUUUAUUGCCUGGAGAUGAGCUCGCGUCUGAUUAGCUAGUUGGUGGUGUAAGGGACCACCAAGGCGUCGAUCAGUAGCUGGUCUGAGAGGAUGAUCAGCCACACUGGGACUGAGACACGGCCCAGACUCCUACGGGAGGCAGCAGUGGGGAAUUUUCCGCAAUGGGCGAAAGCCUGACGGAGCAAUACCGCGUGAGGGAGGAAGGCUCUUGGGUCGUAAACCUCUUUUCUCAAGGAAGAAGAAAGUGACGGUACUUGAGGAAUAAGCAUCGGCUAACUCCGUGCCAGCAGCCGCGGUAAUACGGAGGAUGCAAGCGUUAUCCGGAAUGAUUGGGCGUAAAGGGUCUGCAGGUGGAACUGAAAGUCUGCUGUUAAAGAGUUUGGCUUAACCAAAUAAAAGCGGUGGAAACUACAGAACUAGAGUGCGGUAGGGGCAAAAGGAAUUCCUGGUGUAGCGGUGAAAUGCGUAGAUAUCAGGAAGAACACCGGUGGCGAAAGCGUUUUGCUAGACCGUAACUGACACUGAGGGACGAAAGCUAGGGGAGCGAAUGGGAUUAGAUACCCCAGUAGUCCUAGCCGUAAACGAUGGAUACUAGGCGUGGCUUGUAUCGACCCGAGCCGUGCCGGAGCUAACGCGUUAAGUAUCCCGCCUGGGGAGUACGCACGCAAGUGUGAAACUCAAAGGAAUUGACGGGGGCCCGCACAAGCGGUGGAGUAUGUGGUUUAAUUCGAUGCAACGCGAAGAACCUUACCAAGACUUGACAUCCUGCGAAUCCUGGUGAAAGCUGGGAGUGCCUUAGGGAGCGCAGAGACAGGUGGUGCAUGGCUGUCGUCAGCUCGUGUCGUGAGAUGUUGGGUUAAGUCCCGCAACGAGCGCAACCCUCGUUUUUAGUUGCCAGCAUUAAGUUGGGCACUCUAGAGAGACUGCCGGUGACAAACCGGAGGAAGGUGAGGAUGACGUCAAGUCAGCAUGCCCCUUACGUCUUGGGCUACACACGUACUACAAUGCUACGGACAGAGGGCAGCGAGCCAGGGAUGGCAAGCGAAUCCAGAAACCGUAGCUCAGUUCAGAUCGAAGGCUGCAACUCGCCUUCGUGAAGGAGGAAUCGCUAGUAAUUGCAGGUCAGCAUACUGCAGUGAAUUCGUUCCCGGGCCUUGUACACACCGCCCGUCACACCAU